Molecule: ribosomal RNA, 450 nt
Filed under: uncultured bacterium
Lineage: Bacteria
Description: bacterial SSU rRNA
Rfam family: Bacterial small subunit ribosomal RNA
Source: RNAcentral
UACGGGAGGCAGCAGGGGGAAUAUUGCACAAUGGGCGCAAGCCUGAUGCAGCCAUGCCGCGUGUAUGAAGAAGGCCUUCGGGUUGUAAAGUACUUUCAGUCGUGAGGAGGUGUUAAGGUUAAUAACCUUAGCAAUUGACGUUAGCGACAGAAGAAGCACCGGCUAACUCCGUGCCAGCAGCCGCGGUAAUACGGAGGGUGCGAGCGUUAAUCGGAAUUACUGGGCGUAAAGGGCACGCAGGCGGUUAAUUAAGUUGGAUGUGAAAUCCCCGGGCUUAACCUGGGAAUGGCAUUCAAGCUGGUUAGCUAGAGUCUUGUAGAGGGGGUAGAAUUCCAUGUGUAGCGGUGAAAUGCGUAGAGAUGUGGAGGAAUACCGGUGGCGAAGGCGGCCCCUGGACAAAGACUGACGCUCAUGUGCGAAAGCGUGGGGAGCAAACAGGGAUUAGAUACC